Non-coding RNA from Cercophora newfieldiana, 146 nucleotides. The record is from the annotation of a GenBank genome assembly. Lineage: Eukaryota; Fungi; Ascomycota; Sordariomycetes; Sordariales; Lasiosphaeriaceae.
GGGCGUGUGGCUCAGUUGGUAGAGCGUUCGCUUAGCAUACCACGAAACACCCACAAGGUGUCUUAAACCAAGCAUACCACGAAACACCCACAAGGUGUCUUAAACCAGUAUGCGAAAGGUCCUGGGUUCGAUUCCCAGCUCGUCCA